UGAUUGAUGGUGCUUGCACCUGAUUGAUUUUGGUCGCCAACGAGUGGCGGACGGGUGAGUAACACGUAGGUAACCUGCCCAGAAGCGGGGGACAACAUUUGGAAACAGAUGCUAAUACCGCAUAACAGCGUUGUUCGCAUGAACGACGCUUAAAAGAUGGCUUCUCGCUAUCACUUCUGGAUGGACCUGCGGUGCAUUAGCUUGUUGGUGGGGUAACGGCCUACCAAGGCAAUGAUGCAUAGCCGAGUUGAGAGACUGAUCGGCCACAAUGGGACUGAGACACGGCCCAUACUCCUACGGGAGGCAGCAGUAGGGAAUCUUCCACAAUGGGCGCAAGCCUGAUGGAGCAACACCGCGUGAGUGAAGAAGGGUUUCGGCUCGUAAAGCUCUGUUGUUAAAGAAGAACACGUAUGAGAGUAACUGUUCAUACGUUGACGGUAUUUAACCAGAAAGUCACGGCUAACUACGUGCCAGCGCCGCGGUAAUACGUAGGUGGCAAGCGUUAUCCGGAUUUAUUGGGCGUAAAGAGAGUGCAGGCGGUUUUCUAAGUCUGAUGUGAAAGCCUUCGGCUUAACCGGAGAAGUGCAUCGGAAACUGGAUAACUUGAGUGCAGAAGAGGGUAGUGGAACUCCAUGUGUAGCGGUGGAAUGCGUAGAUAUAUGGAAGAACACCAGUGGCGAAGGCGGCUACCUGGUCUGCAACUGACGCUGAGACUCGAAAGCAUGGGUAGCGAACAGGAUUAGAUACCCUGGUAGUCCAUGCCGUAAACGAUGAGUGCUAGGUGUUGGAGGGUUUCCGCCCUUCAGUGCCGGAGCUAACGCAUUAAGCACUCCGCCUGGGGAGUACGACCGCAAGGUUGAAACUCAAAGGAAUUGACGGGGGCCCGCACAAGCGGUGGAGCAUGUGGUUUAAUUCGAAGCUACGCGAAGAACCUUACCAGGUCUUGACAUCUUGCGCCAACCCUAGAGAUAGGGCGUUUCCUUCGGGAACGCAAUGACAGGUGGUGCAUGGUCGUCGUCAGCUCGUGUCGUGAGAUGUUGGGUUAAGUCCCGCAACGAGCGCAACCCUUGUUACUAGUUGCCAGCAUUAAGUUGGGCACUCUAGUGAGACUGCCGGUGACAAACCGGAGGAAGGUGGGGACGACGUCAGAUCAUCAUGCCCCUUAUGACCUGGGCUACACACGUGCUACAAUGGACGGUACAACGAGUCGCGAACUCGCGAGGGCAAGCAAAUCUCUUAAAACCGUUCUCAGUUCGGACUGCAGGCUGCAACUCGCCUGCACGAAGUCGGAAUCGCUAGUAAUCGCGGAUCAGCAUGCCGCGGUGAAUACGUUCCCGGGCCUUGUACACACCGCCCGUCACACCAUGAGAGUUUGUAACACCCAAAGUCGGUGGGGUAACCUUUAGGAGCCAGCCGCCUAAGG
This 1423-nucleotide ribosomal RNA is filed under the name Limosilactobacillus fermentum. RNAcentral describes it as "bacterial SSU rRNA". It matches the Rfam family "Bacterial small subunit ribosomal RNA". The record is from RNAcentral. Lineage: Bacteria; Bacillati; Bacillota; Bacilli; Lactobacillales; Lactobacillaceae.